AUUUCUCAACCCCUUUCAAUUAAGUUUGAAUGGGAGCUUGGAUAGUGGGGGUUUGCAGGAAACUUGGAUAUUUUCUUUAACUAGAAAAAGUCUAGGAUUCGAGCUCUCCUGAAAUACAUUGGCUUGCGGGUCUACUUUCGACUUUGUGCGAUAAGGCUUUCGGUGUGAUAAUGAUCACCGUAUGCUGAAGUGCAUAACUGUAAAGUUCCGUGCCUCUAAUAUUGUCGAUCCUAUCCUUAUAGGAUGGAUCUUCCUUAUAUGACA
This 264-nucleotide unclassified non-coding RNA is filed under the name Rhizopogon verii. RNAcentral describes it as "partial internal transcribed spacer 2". The record is from RNAcentral. Lineage: Eukaryota; Fungi; Basidiomycota; Agaricomycetes; Boletales; Rhizopogonaceae.